RNAcentral lists this transfer RNA (89 nucleotides) under Christensenellaceae bacterium. RNAcentral's name for it is "tRNA-Ser". It matches the Rfam family "tRNA". From Rfam's summary of the family: Transfer RNA (tRNA) molecules are approximately 80 nucleotides in length. RNAcentral also lists the same sequence under 1 other name. Lineage: Bacteria; Bacillati; Bacillota; Clostridia; Christensenellales; Christensenellaceae. The record is from RNAcentral.
GGAAGAGUAUCGAAGUGGUCAUAACGAGCCGCACUCGAAAUGCGGUGUACCGCAAGGUACCGUGGGUUCGAAUCCCACCUCUUCCGCCA